AGCGAACGCUGGCGGCAGGCCUAACACAUGCAAGUCGAACGAACCUUUCGUGGUUAGUGGCGGUCGGGUGAGUAACACGUGGGAACUUGCCUUUAGGUUCGGUAUAACUCAGGUUAACUUGUGCUAAUACCGAUUGUGCCCUUCGGGGGUAAGGUUUCUCGCCUUUAGAUCGGCCCUCGUCUGUUUAGCUAGUUGGUUGAGGUAAUGGCUCACCAAGGCUACGAUCAGUAGUUGGUCUGAGAGGAUGAUCAGCCACAUGGGGACUGAGACACGGACCAAAAUGCUACGGGAGGGAGCAGAGGGGAAUAUAGCGAAAUGGGGGAAAGGCUGACGAAGCCAUGCGGGGUAAAUGAUGAAGGUGGGAGGAAAGUAAAAUUCUUUGACAGGGGACGAUAAUGACGGUAACCGGAGAAGAAGCCCCGGCUAACUACGUG
RNAcentral lists this ribosomal RNA (434 nucleotides) under uncultured bacterium. RNAcentral's name for it is "partial 16S ribosomal RNA". It matches the Rfam family "Bacterial small subunit ribosomal RNA", at positions 29 to 507 of the family's 1533-position model. The record is from RNAcentral.